Molecule: ribosomal RNA, 155 nt
Filed under: Sporobolus actinocladus
Lineage: Eukaryota; Viridiplantae; Streptophyta; Magnoliopsida; Poales; Poaceae
Also listed under: 2 other names
Description: 5.8S ribosomal RNA
Rfam family: 5.8S ribosomal RNA
About the family: 5.8S ribosomal RNA (5.8S rRNA) is a component of the large subunit of the eukaryotic ribosome. It is transcribed by RNA polymerase I as part of the 45S precursor that also contains 18S and 28S rRNA.
Source: RNAcentral
UCUCGGCAACGGAUAUCUUGGCUCUCGCAUCGAUGAAGAACGUAGCAAAAUGCGAUACCUGGUGUGAAUUGCAGAAUCCCGUGAACCAUCGAGUUUUUGAACGCAAGUUGCGCCUGAGGCCUUUGGUCGAAGGCACGUCUGCCUGGGCGUCACGC